This 465-nucleotide ribosomal RNA is filed under the name Vreelandella stevensii. RNAcentral describes it as "partial 16S ribosomal RNA". It matches the Rfam family "Bacterial small subunit ribosomal RNA", at positions 338 to 795 of the family's 1533-position model. The record is from RNAcentral. Lineage: Bacteria; Pseudomonadati; Pseudomonadota; Gammaproteobacteria; Oceanospirillales; Halomonadaceae.
CCUACGGGAGGCAGCAGUGGGGAAUAUUGGACAAUGGGCGAAAGCCUGAUCCAGCCAUGCCGCGUGUGUGAAGAAGGCCUUCGGGUUGUAAAGCACUUUCAGUGGGGAAGAAAGCCUUGGGGCUAAUACCCUCGAGGAAGGACAUCACCCACAGAAGAAGCACCGGCUAACUCCGUGCCAGCAGCCGCGGUAAUACGGAGGGUGCGAGCGUUAAUCGGAAUUACUGGGCGUAAAGCGCGCGUAGGCGGUCUGAUAAGCCGGUUGUGAAAGCCCCGGGCUCAACCUGGGAACGGCAUCCGGAACUGUCAGGCUAGAGUGCAGGAGAGGAAGGUAGAAUUCCCGGUGUAGCGGGGAAAUGCGUAGAGAUCGGGAGGAAUACCAGUGGCGAAGGCGGCCUUCUGGACUGACACUGACGCUGAGGUGCGAAAGCGUGGGUAGCAAACAGGAUUAGAUCCCCGAGUAGUC